Panicum virgatum (switchgrass) is the source of this 545-nucleotide long non-coding RNA. RefSeq lists it as uncharacterized. The record is from RefSeq and is a predicted model, not a curated record. Lineage: Eukaryota; Viridiplantae; Streptophyta; Magnoliopsida; Poales; Poaceae. The transcript has 3 exons.
GGAGCGCAGCAGGGGACGAAGAUGAGUAGCGAUCCCAAGUACGCCUACCCCUACCCGGCACAAGGCUACUACCAGGGGCCGUACCAGGGCCCGCCGGUGAUGGCGCCGCCGCAGUACGCCGCGCCGCCGCCGAGGAGGGAGCCGAGCUUCCUCGAAGGCUGGUAACCUGGCCGCGCUUUGCUGCUGCUGCCUCAUCGACGAGUGCUGCUGCGACCCCUCCAUCAUCUUCGUCAGCUAGGAAGAGGAUUCCAGAGCUGGUUGCUCGUGCUUCCAGCGUUGUACAGGAACAGCUUCAGCUCCGGAUCGAGGAAGAAAGAGCUUGUUGUAACCACGAUGUACGCCGCCUAUGUAGUGAUUUUAUUCCUUCCAGCUGCAGCUGGUGAUUUCCCCUGCAUGUACCCUCGAUCCAGUUGAUACCAAGACAAGUGUGUGUAAUCUCUUCUCACAUCUCUGCCAGCUGCCUGCGUGUGUGAUGUCUUUGUUACCGAACGAGAUUGCUUUAUUUGCCUACUAUAUAAUUUGCCGUCGAGUCCUUGGUUCGAUUC